UGUCAGGACUCAGCUGGCAGGGCCAUGCAGCCUGUUGCCAUCUUUGCUUCGUCCACAGGUGUUCGCGGUUGGCUGGUGGGCGGAGUAGGCGCACCUGCAGCUCGUCAGCAGCACCGGAGCUGCACUAUAAGAUCUGCACUCGGACAGCGGGUGGAUGCCUGAGUGUUACCGUUGUGGUACCUCCUCGUGCUCCUUCGUCCUCCUUCGAGCUCCUCAGUCCUUCUCGUGUUGCCUCUUGGGAUUUCCCCGUUCAUCUUGAGUGGAGCCUUGCUUCUCGGACGAGACGCACUCCCGACGACUCCCAGGUUCCAUCCGCUGUCCUGAAUCCUCCGGUGCUGCUCGGACCUCUCGCCCCGCUCUCAGCCGCCCGGACACCUACGACCAACAUUCAGCUGAGUCCACACUGCCGUCCUCCCCGGUCGGGUUUCUUGCACCUCGUGAUCGACCUGGUCCCCGCCGCCCGAGUUCCUGCCCGAGUAUCUUCCAGCCCGCAGAUUAGCUUCGCCGCUUAGCAUUCUCGC
Molecule: long non-coding RNA, 521 nt
Organism: Fundulus heteroclitus (mummichog)
Lineage: Eukaryota; Metazoa; Chordata; Actinopteri; Cyprinodontiformes; Fundulidae
Exons: 3
Source: RefSeq, a predicted model, not a curated record